RNAcentral lists this long non-coding RNA (536 nucleotides) under Elaeis guineensis (African oil palm). RNAcentral's name for it is "long non-coding RNA (EGUI_LNC032944)". Lineage: Eukaryota; Viridiplantae; Streptophyta; Magnoliopsida; Arecales; Arecaceae. The record is from RNAcentral.
GGGAAUAUGUGACAGUAGAUCGAUUGAAACAAGUAUUGAACCAUUAUAAUCAUUAUGUUUUUAGAUUCUGUUCAACAUAUAACCUGGUGGCUUGAAGGAAAAUUUGGCAAGAUGACACUAAAGCAUGCAAUGAUAUACGGUUCUGCAUGUUGGAUGAUAAAGAGUAUCCAAGAAAACUUGCUGAAUGUAGCAGCAAUAAGAGUGCUGGAAUAUAUGUGUGGUAAAACAAGGGUGGAUAGAGUGAAAAAUGAGUAUACUAGAAGAGCUGUAAGGGAGGCACAUGUUGGGAAUAAGGUGAUGAAGAAUCAAUUGAAAUGAUAUAGGCAUGUAUAACAAUGAUUUGAUGGUGCUUCCACAAUGAGGGGAACCUUAAUUGUUGUUGGAUAAUGCGGGAAAGGUUGAGAAUGCCUAAUGUCACAUAGAUGGAAAUGGUGAGAAAAGAUAUGGAAUAACUUGAAAUAACAUCAGAUGUAGCCAUGAAGGGUAAUGCUUGGCAAACAAGGAUCAAUAAAACCAGUCUGAAAUACUUGGGACAA